This 74-nucleotide transfer RNA is filed under the name Campylobacterota bacterium. Its description in RNAcentral is "Epsilonproteobacteria bacterium tRNA-Lys". It matches the Rfam family "tRNA". From Rfam's summary of the family: Transfer RNA (tRNA) molecules are approximately 80 nucleotides in length. The record is from RNAcentral. Lineage: Bacteria; Pseudomonadati; Campylobacterota.
GGGCUCGUAGCUCAGCAAGGCAGAGCAACGGGCUUUUAACCCGUUGGUCGUGGGUUCAAAUUCCGUCGAGCCCA